CUUCUCACUUUUUCUCCACUAGGUGCAGUUUCAGGAUGUUACCAUGUUGCUGAAGGUGAAAUACCGUAGUGUCAAGAAGUACAUCAAAUUGCACUCAGGCUUCACCUAUUCAGAAUUCACCAGGGAAGUCAAAAACAAGUUUGAGCUUCCUGAUGAGGCUCAACUUGACAUUUUUGAUGAAACUGACACAGCAGUAGAGGAAGACAUUCUUCUAGAGCUGUUGGAGGCCGAUUCAGACAUGUGCCUGACAGUACGUCAGUACAGCAUUUCAGAUGAAGGUAGGUGUCAUUAAGAAAACCUGUGUUUAUGGAUGGGGCUCUUUGAUGCAGCUGACAUUGACCUUUCUUUAUGGAACGAACAAGGCAGUGGGCAAUGAUGGAACAAGUUUGUUACUGAUUACUAAAAAUAUCAUCCAAAUACUUUAGGGUAACUUAAAAUGUUUAUACUAAAAUUGGUAAAGCCACAAAAAGUUAAGUUAAUCAAAUUCUCUCUUUUUAAAGAAUUUUCUCCUUUACCACCAUCUUCAACACCAUCUUCCCUCACGGAUACCACAUCCCUUUCUUCAAGUGACAGUGACCUUAGAGAACUGAGUAUUCCCACAACAAGCAGAAAUGUAUCCAGCAAAGAACACAUGAGCAGUUCUGCAACAAAGGCUUCCGUGUCAGAGGCGGCAAAGGAGAUGGUAGAAAAGGCCUUGCUUAAGAAGCCUGGAGGAGAGGAUAUUCUUGAAGAGUACAAGUCAGAAAAUUCACUAAUGCACCGCACUCGGAGACAGCUUGUCAACCUAUUGGCGAGUGAUAUGACUGAGAGACAUGGCAGGUUUCCUUCCCGUCAGCAGAAG
Molecule: long non-coding RNA, 841 nt
Organism: Rhinichthys klamathensis goyatoka
Lineage: Eukaryota; Metazoa; Chordata; Actinopteri; Cypriniformes; Leuciscidae
Exons: 4
Source: RefSeq, a predicted model, not a curated record